CCUGACUGCUAUCGGAUURAUACUAAGCCAUGCGAGUCAUUGUAGCAAUACAAGGCAUACGGCUCAGUAACGCGUAGUCAACCUAACCUAUGGACGGGAAUAACCUCGGGAAACUGAGAAUAAUGCCCGAUAGAACACUAUACCUGGAAUGGUUUGUGUUCCAAAUGAUUUAUCGCCAUAGGAUGGGACUGCGGCCUAUCAGUUUGUUGGUGAGGUAAUGGCCCACCAAGACUAUUACAGGUACGGGCUCUGAGAGGAGUAGCCCGGAGAUGGGUACUGAGACACGGACCCAGGCCCUAUGGGGCGCAGCAGGCGAGAAAACUUUGCAAUGUGCGAAAGCACGACAAGGUUAAUCCGAGUGAUUUGUGCUAAACGAAUCUUUUGUUAGUCCUAGAAACACUAACGAAUAAGGGGUGGGCAAGUUCUGGUGUCAGCCGCCGCGGUAAAACCAGCACCUUAAGUGGUCAGGAUGAUUAUUGGGCCUAAAGCAUCCGUAGCCGGCUCUGUAAGUUUUCGGUUAAAUCUGUACGCUUAACGUACAGGCUGCCGGGAAUACUGCAGAGCUAGGGAGUGGGAGAGGUAGACGGUACUCGGUAGGAAGUGGUAAAAUGCUUUGAUCUAUCGAUGACCACCUGUGGCGAAGGCGGUCUACCAGAACACGUCCGACGGUGAGGGAUGAAAGCUGGGGGAGCAAACCGGAUUAGAUACCCGGGUAGUCCCAGCUGUAAACUAUGCAAACUCAGUGAUGCAUUGGCUUGUGGCCAAUGCAGUGCUGCAGGGAAGCCGUUAAGUUUGCCGCCUGGGAAGUACGUACGCAAGUAUGAAACUUAAAGGAAUUGGCGGGGGAGCACCACAAGGGGUGAAGCCUGCGGUUC
RNAcentral lists this ribosomal RNA (875 nucleotides) under uncultured marine group I thaumarchaeote. Its description in RNAcentral is "bacterial SSU rRNA". It matches the Rfam family "Archaeal small subunit ribosomal RNA", at positions 21 to 903 of the family's 1478-position model. Lineage: Archaea; Thermoproteati; Nitrososphaerota. The record is from RNAcentral.